This 299-nucleotide long non-coding RNA is filed under the name Elaeis guineensis (African oil palm). RNAcentral describes it as "long non-coding RNA (EGUI_LNC082191)". Lineage: Eukaryota; Viridiplantae; Streptophyta; Magnoliopsida; Arecales; Arecaceae. The record is from RNAcentral.
GCCGAAACAGGGGACCGACAAGUCUCCUCCUUUUGAGCAGCCGUUCGGGCCAUGACCGACACGACGAAGGCCGAUGGCAAAGGGGGCAACCCUCAUGGGUUCGGAGAGGCCAAACCGGUGGUCGACGGUGACCACCGACGUCAGAAAUCAAAGAAAAACGGACAAAAAUAGAGGUUCUUCCGCAACAAAAUCCGGCAACUCAGAUCGCCGACGAGCAUGCACACCAGCACGGAAAGGAAAGGGGAGAAGAGAGGAAGGAGGAGGAGGCUCACCUUUAACGCUAGCGAGGCUUUCCAACG